RNAcentral lists this transfer RNA (27 nucleotides) under Equus caballus (horse). RNAcentral describes it as "partial transfer RNA-Thr". The record is from RNAcentral. Lineage: Eukaryota; Metazoa; Chordata; Mammalia; Perissodactyla; Equidae.
AGGGGGGAACGUUCCUCCCAGGACUAU